UACCUGCAGCUCGAGUGGUGGCCGCUAUUAUUGGGCCUAAAACGUCCGUAGCCGGUUUAAUAAAUGCCUGGGUAAAUCGUGUAGCUUAACUAUACGAAUUCCGGGUAGACUGUUGGACUUGAGACCGGGAGAAGCUAGAGGUACUCCUGGGGUAGAGGUGAAAUUCUGUAAUCCUAGGGGGACCACCAGUGGCGAAGGCGUCUAGCUAGAACGGGUCUGACGGUGAGGGACGAAGCCCUGGGGCGCAAACCGGAUUAGAUACCCGGGUAGUCCAGGGUGUAAACGCUGCUUGCUUGAUGUUAGUUGGGCUCUGAGCCCAAUUAGUGUCGGAGAGAAGUUGUUAAGCAAGCUGCCUGGGAAGUACGGUCGCAAGACUGAAACUUAAGGAAUUGGGCGGGGAGCACAGCAACGGGUGGAGCGUGCGGUUU
RNAcentral lists this ribosomal RNA (428 nucleotides) under uncultured archaeon. RNAcentral describes it as "bacterial SSU rRNA". It matches the Rfam family "Archaeal small subunit ribosomal RNA", at positions 474 to 903 of the family's 1478-position model. The record is from RNAcentral.